Molecule: ribosomal RNA, 386 nt
Filed under: uncultured bacterium
Lineage: Bacteria
Description: bacterial SSU rRNA
Rfam family: Bacterial small subunit ribosomal RNA
Source: RNAcentral
GACGAACGCUGGCGGCGUGCUUAACACAUGCAAGUCGAGCGGUAAGGCCCUUUCGGGGGUACACGAGCGGCGAACGGGUGAGUAACACGUGGGUGACCUGCCCUUAGCUCUGGGAUAAGCCUGGGAAACUGGGUCUAAUACCGGAUAUGACUCCAUGACGCAUGUUGUGGGGUGGAAAGCCUUGUGCGGCUAGGGAUGGGCCUGCGGCCUAUCAGCUUGUUGGUGGGGUGAUGGCCUACCAAGGCGACGACGGGUAGCCGGCCUGAGAGGGCGACCGGCCACACUGGGACUGAGACACGGCCCAGACUCCUACGGGAGGCAGCAGUGGGGAAUCUUGCGCAAUGGGCAAAGCCUGACGCAGCGACGCCGCGUGGGGAUGACGGCCU